Meriones unguiculatus (Mongolian gerbil) is the source of this 108-nucleotide small nuclear RNA. Lineage: Eukaryota; Metazoa; Chordata; Mammalia; Rodentia; Muridae. The record is from Ensembl.
GUGCUUGCUGCAGCAGCACAUGAAUACAUAUUAGACCACUGCAGAGAAGAGUAGCAUGACCCCAAGUACAGGGAUGACAUGCAAAUUCAUGAAGCAUUCCAUAUUUGA